UAAUGUUGAUCCACCUAUAGGGUUG
Molecule: non-coding RNA, 25 nt
Filed under: Mus musculus (house mouse)
Lineage: Eukaryota; Metazoa; Chordata; Mammalia; Rodentia; Muridae
Source: RNAcentral